This 21-nucleotide microRNA is filed under the name Mus musculus (house mouse). RNAcentral describes it as "mmu-miR-6930-3p". Lineage: Eukaryota; Metazoa; Chordata; Mammalia; Rodentia; Muridae. The record is from miRBase by way of RNAcentral.
CUGGCCUCUCCAUACUCCCAG